UACGAAGGGUGCAAGCGUUACUCGGAAUUACUGGGCGUAAAGCGUGCGUAGGUGGUUUGUUAAGUCCGAUGUGAAAGCCCUGGGCUCAACCUGGGAAUGGCAUUGGAUACUGGCAGGCUAGAGUGCGGUAGAGGGCAGUGGAAUUCCCGGUGUAGCAGUGAAAUGCGUAGAGAUCGGGAGGAACAUCUGUGGCGAAGGCGGGUCUCUGGGCAGUAACUGACGCUGAGGAGCGAAAGCGUGGGGAGCGAACAGG
This 253-nucleotide ribosomal RNA is filed under the name uncultured bacterium. RNAcentral's name for it is "partial 16S ribosomal RNA". It matches the Rfam family "Bacterial small subunit ribosomal RNA", at positions 524 to 776 of the family's 1533-position model. The record is from RNAcentral.